GACGAACGCUGGCGGUGUGCUUCACACAUGCAAGUCGAACGAGGUAGCAAUACCUAGUGGCGGACGGGUGAGUAACGCGUGGGAAUCUGCCUUUAGAUGGGGGAUAACGGGUCGAAAGACUCGCUAAUACCGCAUAUGACGAAAGUUGAAAGGAGUAAUCCGUCUAAAGAUGAGCCCGCGUCCGAUUAGCUAGUUGGUAGAGUAAAAGCCUACCAAGGCGACGAUCGGUAGCUGGUCUGAGAGGAUGAUCAGCCACAAUGGGACUAGAGACACGGCCCAUACUCCUACGGGAGGCAGCAGUGGGAAUUUUACGCAAUGGCGAAAGCCUGACGUAGCGACACCGCGUGAGCGAAGAAGA
This 358-nucleotide ribosomal RNA is filed under the name uncultured bacterium. RNAcentral's name for it is "bacterial SSU rRNA". It matches the Rfam family "Bacterial small subunit ribosomal RNA", at positions 28 to 414 of the family's 1533-position model. The record is from RNAcentral.